CCUACGGGAGGCUGCAGUGGGGAAUAUUGGGCAAUGGGCGCAAGCCUGACCCAGCAACGCCGCGUGAAGGAAGAUGGCCUUCGGGUUGUAAACUUCUUUUCUCAGGGACGAAGAAAGUGACGGUACCUGAGGACUAAGCCACGGCUAACUACGUGCAAGCAGCCGCGGUAAUACGGAGGUGGCAAGCUUUAUCGGGUUUUACUGGGUGUAAGGGGUGUGUAGGCGGGGGGGCAAGUCAGAUGUGAAAGCCACGGGCUAAACGUGUGACCUGCCUUUGAGACUGUUUUUCUUGAGUGCUGGUGAGGCAGACGGAAUGCGUGGUGUAGCGGUGAAAUGCAUAGAUAUUA
This 347-nucleotide ribosomal RNA is filed under the name uncultured bacterium. Its description in RNAcentral is "partial 16S ribosomal RNA". It matches the Rfam family "Bacterial small subunit ribosomal RNA", at positions 338 to 699 of the family's 1533-position model. The record is from RNAcentral.